CGAUGUAGUUCUCCGUUGAAGAGUCCAGGCGAAACAGAUGGGUGAGAUGGUCUCAGUUUCCGGCGUGCUCCGUCGAAACUAUAGGUGGUUUCGUCUUCGCCGGCGAUGUCUUCUCGGUGCCGGUCGCGGUGGUGUGACCAGGUGACGCGUGUUCUCGAAAGGGGUGGGUUUCAACACGUGGGCUUCCAAACGCGUUUUCUGGACGCGUGGAGGGUUUGGCGCCGUUUCGUUAACGGGUUGGGCUUCGCCCAUUGUUUUUCC
This 261-nucleotide long non-coding RNA is filed under the name Brassica napus (rape). RNAcentral's name for it is "long non-coding RNA (BNAP_LNC020939)". Lineage: Eukaryota; Viridiplantae; Streptophyta; Magnoliopsida; Brassicales; Brassicaceae. The record is from RNAcentral.